This 7419-nucleotide long non-coding RNA is filed under the name Panicum hallii. RNAcentral's name for it is "long non-coding RNA (PHAL_LNC000065)". Lineage: Eukaryota; Viridiplantae; Streptophyta; Magnoliopsida; Poales; Poaceae. The record is from RNAcentral.
AUAAAAUAAAAGUAUAUGCAUCCGUUAAAUUACAUCUUUGCAUAUCAUAUAGACUCAACUACUCUCGCCGACGGAGACUACGAACUAAUCCCGGAUCAAGAAGGGGAAAUUUCUGAAGACCCCGGGAACGUCGUCGGAAGUUUAACUGAAGCUCCGAACCCAAGUUCGGAAACUUUGACACUCCUGCCCCCAACCCAACUCAAGAAGGCAAGCCCCGGUGCAUAACCCAGUAUUUCAAAUUACUACAUUAUGCAAUCUUAUAUAUUAUAUCUCGCAUUAAGUCUAGGAGAUGAAAUGAAACCAUAGAUGCAUGAAUCCUAAGAACCUAUGUAUUGUACCUGAGUCCUUACCGCAUAGAUGCUCUGCUAAUAGGACCGGUAGAAGUCGGGUGAUUUUCUGUCACUCGCGCGAUAUAGGAAUUGCAAUGUUUACAUUCCUGUAAUCAUAUAAGGACGAUAUACGGGAUUUAGGUGAUGUAUCAUAAUGGAGAUGAUACCCGUCUGUGUUGGUGAAUUUGGUUAAGGUCGCAGUGUGUGGUAGCGGUGGUUAAGCGUUUGAAAGUACUAGCCACAUGCCGCGAAAUAUGGUAAGCGGUAAGCCUAGUAACCAAUCGGCCCGAGGAGUGGACAUACCUCCCACCACUCAUAUUUGGUUUUUCCUGUUACUCGCUUCGACGUGUGGGAAUACGUGUUGCCGGGCAAUCAGGAGUACGGUCAUGUAGUCGCACUACAGACGUAUGUCCUGCACAUUGGAUGUGUGUAUGGUCCUGCAGUCGCUUGUGGUGGAUCUGAUCCAUGAAUCGGAAUGAAAGGCAAAUGGUUGCUUCGGAAUAAUCUCUGGAUAUUCCAAGCGUGUGAGUUAGGUUUACCCUUGCAAGGCUGAAAUUCGAUUCAGGAAUCGUCCGUUUCUCGCGGAGAUUGAGACUACUUGAUCCCUUUGCCACAUAGAGUAAUAAGAGCAACUUUAUGGUUAUCAAAGAUGAUGUUUGGCUAAAGAUUCUACCAUGCUUGAAUAGCUAUAGGUACUUAUCUAUAAUGGAUAAUCACAUAGAACUUGAAAGCUAAAAGUGAAAUUAAGGAUCUACUCUUUGUUGCUUUUCAGCUGUAAACUUUACUCAUAACCAGAAAAGCCUUUAUAAGUCUAGUUACAUGGCUAAGUAUACCAUGAACGGGUAAGCCUUGCUGAGUAUUAGAAUACUCAGUCUUGCAUUGUGACUUUUAUUCAGGUAAUUCCCCUGAAGACUUUGCUCUGCCUAUGCCAUGGCCUUAUCCUCUACCCGAUGGUUGGUCCGUGGAGUGGGACCCAUCCCCGGCCAACACUGAUCAUACCGAGUGAUGUUAUGCCAGGGCUUAGCAUGAUGUCUGGAUUGGCGACGUGUACAGUGACCGUGUUUUAAACUCCGCUGCCAUGACUUGAAACCUUAAACUGUUUUGUAAUAAUUUCCAUCAGUUUGGAACUUAUGUUACUUUUGAAUACUCAUGUGAUAUAAAUGCCUGUGAUGUAAAAUAUAUUGGCGAUUGUAUCUCUGGACUCGCCUUCGUGCGAGGUACCUUGUUUGAUCUUGCAUUAGGUGGUUUAUCAGGACGUUACCCGACAGGCCAAGGGCUUACACCGUUUGAAGUACGUUGGAGCCCUUGAGAGAGGACUUGCGUACUUGAACCGGUAUAAUUCAGGUUGGUUCUGCCACACAGCCGAAGUUGUAAUACUAUAACAUACUAGUAUAAUGCUCAUGCUAAUGCUACAGUAACAGCCAAAAGACACUAUAUAUUUUGAAAAUGAUGCAUAGAAUGAGAUAGAUAAAGGUUCAUGUGAAAAGUUAUCAUCUUGUUAAAUGCAUAGCAUUUGCACUUCAAAUAACAUCACAGAAAUUGUAUCUUGCAACAUGGCCUGUUAGAAAAAGUGAGCAUCAACAUUCUUUUAUUAUUUUAUGAAUCCUUCUUUGCAAACCAUAAAUACAUUGAGCAUUGGGCACCAGCAAGGAAUGGAAGAUGUCACUUUGUCGGUGUAAGUAUUUUGAGGAAACACAUGGCUAACAAAGCUGGCACCACCACUAUAUCAACCAAACGGGAACAAUGUUUUGCUCCUUACCCAGAUGGCGUUCUUGCAAUUCAAAUUGAUGCGGUACAAGAACCAACCGGUUAUAGUCUAACUUGGCUUUGCGUUGACGUGAAAACGUGCCAUGCCAAACACUGAGCACUGAACAUGCAGCCCGCAGAGGCUCUUUUUGUUGAGCCUCGGCGGAAAUCGGAUGUUCCGGUCUCCAGAAACAAGAAGUUCCAGAAUCUCUAGGGUUUGGCUAGGAAAGCAUGAAACAGUCACCCCAAAGGGAUAAAUAGCACGCUUACGUGGUGAAGGUGUUGUCGGUCAAAACCCACCGGCGAGUAGCGACAGGCAACACGAGGAGCCGGGAGGCUCCCGGGACUGCUGGUGCGUCCUGGUCCCUCGGUCAACGGCCUGAAAUCCGGCACACGCCCUGGCUUCUAGGUUGCUAGGCGUGGCACCUGACCUUGUACCUGAUCAGGAAGGUGUUAUGUGUUAGUUUCCUGCAUGCACAGACAUGUGUAAACAUUAGUCCGAGCCGUGAUCGGCUCAUCGAAUGAUUCCCGGUAUCGGCUGUAAAGAGCCGAUUGUGUUGGGUAUCGGAUCGGUUCUAUAAAUAAAGCAAAUAUGUCCGAUGGUAAUACAAAUCUUGCUCUGUAAUCAUUAAGCUAAUCCAAUCUACGACGACUAAAGCUUUCACUACGUAAUCGGAACAUCCUACAUGUAACUGAGCCUAACAAAUGCUGAAGGUAGCAAGACAACAAUCUAAAUAGAAGCCUAAAAAUCAACCAAAAGCCGAUUCACAGGACAAUCCUUUUUCAAGCUGUUAUAAAAUACCCAGAACACUGCCAGAACAUUCAAUUCGUUUGAAGAGCCUAAUCAUGCAGAUAUUAAACUAAACCCUCGAUUAACGAAGGCUAACCGUAACAGAUUAGAUCUACUAAACAAGUACAAAGAAAAGUACUGCCCUUAUACCUGAGAUCGAGUACAUGGACAGCCAGACGUUUACAGGAACCAAGCAAAGCAUAAUUAACACAUGAAAGAGCCGAUGCUACCCUAUAAACGCCAAGAUAACUGGUGUUACUCGCCAUCAACAACGCUUCAGAACGAGAAACAUGAAAAGUAAAUAAGUAAGAAUGAUGCUGCCCCGAUCACACAGGGCGUGAUCAGGGCCGCACGGCGCUUACCCGAGAAACCCUAGAACAGGGGUGGCGAUGCGCCGAGAGUUGUUGGUGAAUGAUUCGAUUUUUUUUAUUGUUUACCCAAGAUACAUAUCUGCAAAGGGUCCGAUCCGCAAGCCCAUUAUAACUAUCCUUCAAACCCAUCUUGCUCCACGACCCACCUUUCUGGCCUGCCUAAAUUAUGGCGAUAACAUAUGCCCCCCUGGUUUCGGCAAUAAUUAUUCUGAAACCAUUUCCCUUUUAAUCGCCUCAUCUCUUCGACUUCCGAAAUCCGUACAGGCGUGCCUCUUGAACUUUCAGGGGAUGUGACUGCUCUGCAUCAGGCUCCUUGGAAACCGUUACGGUGCCGAUUCACCUUCCACUUCGCCUUUAUAGACUUACCCCCGGCAACUUUCUCCCAAUCGUCUUCUUCUCUUCAGACAUUAGCAACCACAUCUAACCCAAUUUUUUCCUCCUCUUGCAAUGGCUUCUUCCUCUUCCUCUGCUUCUUCCACCAUCUCCUUUGAAUCUGAAUCCUCCCGAGAGCCUACUCCGGAAUAUGAUCCGAUAGCUGCCUACGAGAUCCUUGCCCCCCUGCAUUGGGAUGCGGGAGUGUCAGACCCGGGGCUACAGGGCUGUGUACAUAAUAUAGUUUAAACAAGGUUAAGAGAUAAAGCCCAUCUUAUCUCUUAUUUAAGUUGUUUUCUACUCGUUUGAGUAGGAGAUAAAGCUAGUUGAUGCAGAAGAAAACUACCCGAGUUAUACCCGGGUAUGAUUCCUUAGCUCGUAUUGAUUAGAUCCAUGUAACCCUGACCUCCUGGAUAUAUAAGGGGGGCAGGGACCCCCUCAAAACAUCUGAUUCUACGCCCAAGGGAAUACAAACCACCAUACAGGACGUAGGGUAUUACGCACCUCGCGGCCCGAACCUGUCUAAAUCUUGUGUUCCUUGCACCUUCGAGUUCCUGAUCUCAGCGUCUCCUCACCUAAACAUACAUACUUGGGUAUACCCUUCGGUGGGCAGCCGGUAAAACACCGACAGCUGGCGCCCCAAGUAGGGGAGUGCAUCGAAGAUCCACCGGCAAACUUGAUGGCAUCUUUCCAGUUCACCAGGUCAGUUCCCUCUCAGGGCACGACAUUUGUUUUUGGCUUGAGGGUCUGCAUCGCAGAUGGUGCAGGCAGUUUCUGUCGAUUCCUCGUCGACAUGAAGCUGAAAACUCCCACGGCGGGUCCUCGAAGCAACCUUGACAAGUUCGUUGAUGAUCUCGAUGACUUGUCAAUUCAUGCAUCUGCUGCAAGGAUCGAGGUGGAGUCUGCUUCCGGCGCACAACGCUGCAUCAACUUUCCUUGGGUUGGACUCUUUCCAAUCUAAGGAUUCGCGUAACUGAUCACGACUCGGUCUACGCAAUUUGGCCACUGAUCUCCAGGAGGCAGACAUGUCCGAGUCCCUCUCCGCAUUAGAGAAGGACUUGGACUGUCUGCUCCAACUUGGAGGGCCCGAAGCCACCGCAUGUCAGGGGGCUUUGGGUUGUUUUAGUGCUAGCGGUUUGAUGAUCACCUCCACCCCGGAGGGGUGUUUCGUGCAUUGGAAGGGCAUGAAACCCUCUGAUCUACUCGAGGCUGAGGAUCGACUUGUGGGCCACCUCGAGCCUUUGCCUUUUCAGGAGGGCAGGCCAUUAGCCACCGUGGUGGAGGGGUCGACUGAACUAGUCGAUGAGAGCUCUGAGGAGCUCAUCUCACACCAGGUGCUGAUGGCGGAAGAAGGCGAGGACGAUGGUGACUUGCCCAUCAUUGAAUUUGAUGCGGUCUCCGAGGACAAAGCCACAGCCAACGCCUGCGACAAAAAUGACGCCGAUCAUGAGGCACGGAGGACCCGAAAAUGACGCCGAAUUCGCUGCUGUAAGCGAGCGGGGCUUCAGGACUUCGGUGGCCAACAUCGCUAGGGUCACGGCCAUACUCGAGCGCAGCAACCAUCCGAACGUGCGUCAAGCACUUCGUUACGCACAGAGGGAUAUCCUCUUUUAAAAGUAGCUUAGUUCCAUCUGCUAUAGCUUGAAGCAGUCCCAGGGGGCCAGCAUAUUCAGGACCAAUACGUUGUUGUAUCGAUGCGGAUAUUUCUCUUUCUAACCACACAAUUAUGAGUACUUGUAUUGUGAUUCCCAGUAGGAGGGUCAAAAUGGGUAGAAUCCAUAUCAGUCCGUAGACUUCUUUUAAUAAUUCCGAUUUCGAAAAAGAAUUGAUAGUUUCUACCUCUAUUAUCAUUUCAACGAUCAACUUCCCCCAUAAUGAUAUCUAUACUACCUAAUAUCAUCAUGAUAUCAGCCAAUUUCAUUUUUUUUAACUAGCUGAGGAAGAAUUUGCAAAUUAAUAAAACCAGGUGGACGAAUUUUCCAUCUCCAGGGGAAAAGACUAUCAUCUCCUACCAGAUAAAUUCCUAACUCACCUUUUGGAGCUUCUACUCUUACAUAAAGCUCUUGCUUUGAUAAUUCAAAAUUGGGCGAAGGCUUUUUACCAAGAAAUCGAUAUUCAAAAUCAUUCCAUUCGGAAUUCUUUGCUUUCUUAAAGCGUCGGGCUUCUAAAUUCUCAUAAGGUCCUCCCGGAAUUUUCUCUACAGCUUGUUGAAUAAUUUUUAUGGAUUCCCUCAUUUCAUCGAUUCGUACUAAAUAGCGAGCUAACGAAUCUCCUUCUUUUUGCCAUUGUACUUUCCAAUCAAAUUGAUUAUAAGACUCAUAAGGAUCAAUUUUACGAAGAUCCCAUUGUGUUCCAGAAGCUCGUAACAUUGGGCCCGAUAAGCCCCAAUUUACAGCUUCUUCGCCGCUAAUAAAACCGACUCCUUCAACUCGUUCUAAAAAAAUAGGAUUCCGUGUAAUAAGUUGUUGAUAUUCAACAACUCCUCGUAAAAAAUAAUCACAGAAAUCUAAACAUUUAUCCAUCCAUCCAUAAGGUAGAUCAGCAGCUACUCCUCCGAUGCGAAAGUAAUUAUGCAUCAUUCGCAUACCUGUAGCAGCUUCAAAUAGAUCAUAUAUCAAUUCUCUCUCUCUAAAAAUGUAGAAAAAAGGAGUCUGUGCCCCGAGAUCCGCCAUAAAAGGUCCAAGCCAUAACAGGUGAGAAGCUAUACGGCUCAAUUCUAACAUAAUUACCCUAAUAUAGCUGGCUCUUUGGGGUAUUUGAAUAUUCUCCAAGAAUUCUGGUGCAUUUACCGUUAUUGCUUCUGUAAACAUAGUAGCUAAAUAAUCCCAUCGUGUUACAUAAGGCAAGUAUUGUAUAAUAGUUCUGUUUUCCGCGAUUUUUUCCAUUCCUCUGUGUAAAUACCCUAAUAUGGGUUCGCAAUCAAUAACAUCUUCACCAUCGAGAGUAACGAUCAGUCGAAGAACACCAUGCAUUGAUGGGUGUUGAGGGCCCAUAUUGACUAUCAUGAGAUCUUUUCUUGUAAGCGGUGGACUCGUAUCCUUGUUCUUAUUCUUUUUUCCAUGAAAAUGGAUUAUUCCAUGAAUUCCUCAAAACGAGGCUCAUCAAAAUGCAAAAUCUAAGACUACUAAUAAAAUAAGAAAAAAUUCGAACGAUUAAAUUACUUCUCCCGAAUAUCCAACUGACUGAUUAAUUUCUUAUAACGUACUCAAUUUUUCUUUGCCAAAUAAGCCAGCAAACGUUGACGUUUUCCCAAAAGUCUUCGUAGACCUCUUUCCAAUGAAAAAUCUUUUUUGUGUAAUUCCAAAUGUGAAGCAAGUCUCCGUAUCUUAUUGGUGAAACUGAAUACUUGAAAUUCAACAGAACCCCUGUUUUCUUGUUUUUCUUCUUUAACCAUAAAUCAAAAAAAAAUUCUACCUCCUUUCUUUUUCAUGUAUUUUUCUGAUCAGGAAGAAUAAAAAAUUAUGUCAAUUAUUUUGAAGUUAUUCUAAUCUCGUACACACAAAAAUUUGCAAUUAUUCAUCUACUGCUGGAAUUUGGAAUUUGGAUUUAUUGUAUCGAUGCAAAUUGGAUUUGGAUAGAAGGGUACAUUCUUUUAUUUUAGAUAGAAGAAACAUUUCUUCUAUCUAAAAUAAAAGAAUUUUGCUGAUUUAUUGCUAUAUCCAAUUUAUAGAAUUGAUAUAGCAUUUAAUUGCUAUCAUUUAGCAAAAUGAAACACAGCAUAUGCAUCCAUCUUUCGGCUCGAGAAUUUCACGGGAUAGAGAUAUAGUAUAAGAAAUAGGCUAUUAAGUUACUCUAAAUGAAUUGUGGAUAC